AACGAACGCUGGCGGCAUGCCUAACACAUGCAAGUCGAACGAUCCCUUCGGGGAUAGUGGCGCACGGGUGCGUAACGCGUGGGAACCUGCCCUUAGGUUCGGAAUAACUCAGAGAAAUUUGAGCUAAUACCGGAUAAUGUCUUCGGACCAAAGAUUUAUCGCCUUUGGAUGGGCCCGCGUUGGAUUAGCUAGUUGGUGGGGUAAAGGCCUACCAAGGCGACGAUCCAUAGCUGGUCUGAGAGGAUGAUCAGCCACACUGAGACUGAGACACGGCCCAGACUCCUACGGGAGGCAGCAGUGGGGAAUAGUGGACAAUGGGCGAAAGCCUGAUCCAGCAAUGCCGCGUGAGUGAUGAAGGCCUUAGGGUUGUAAAGCUCUUUUACCCGGGAUGAUAAUGACAGUACCGGGAGAAUAAGCCCCGGCUAACUCCGUG
Molecule: ribosomal RNA, 433 nt
Filed under: uncultured bacterium
Lineage: Bacteria
Description: partial 16S ribosomal RNA
Rfam family: Bacterial small subunit ribosomal RNA
Source: RNAcentral